This 109-nucleotide small nuclear RNA is filed under the name Urocitellus parryii (Arctic ground squirrel). The record is from RNAcentral. Lineage: Eukaryota; Metazoa; Chordata; Mammalia; Rodentia; Sciuridae.
AUAAGAGUUGGGAGCAUAUUACAAGUGUGAUUUGAAUGACAUGGAGAAGAUUAGUAUGGCUCAUACCCAAGGGUGACACACAAAUCUACAUGCUCCGUAUUUUAUUUUU